RNAcentral lists this ribosomal RNA (563 nucleotides) under Neisseria meningitidis. Its description in RNAcentral is "bacterial SSU rRNA". It matches the Rfam family "Bacterial small subunit ribosomal RNA", at positions 365 to 920 of the family's 1533-position model. The record is from RNAcentral. Lineage: Bacteria; Pseudomonadati; Pseudomonadota; Betaproteobacteria; Neisseriales; Neisseriaceae.
UGGACAAUGGGCGCAAGCCUGAUCCAGCCAUGCCGCGUGUCUGAAGAAGGCCUUCGGGUUGUAAAGGACUUUUGUCAGGGAAGAAAAGGCUGUUGCUAAUAUCAGCGGCUGAUGACGGUACCUGAAGAAUAAGCACCGGCUAACUACGUGCCAGCAGCCGCGGUAAUACGUAGGGUGCGAGCGUUAAUCGGAAUUACUGGGCGUAAAGCGGGCGCAGACGGUUACUUAAGCAGGAUGUGAAAUCCCCGGGCUCAACCCGGGAACUGCGUUCUGAACUGGGUGACUCGAGUGUGUCAGAGGGAGGUAGAAUUCCACGUGUAGCAGUGAAAUGCGUAGAGAUGUGGAGGAAUACCGAUGGCGAAGGCAGCCUCCUGGGAUAACACUGACGUUCAUGCCCGAAAGCGUGGGUAGCAAACAGGAUUAGAUACCCUGGUAGUCCACGCCCUAAACGAUGUCAAUUAGCUGUUGGGCAACUUGAUUGCUUAGUAGCGUAGCUAACGCGUGAAAUUGACCGCCUGGGGAGUACGGUCGCAAGAUUAAAACUCAAAGGAAUUGACGGACCC